This 600-nucleotide ribosomal RNA is filed under the name Bacillus sp. EECC-239. Its description in RNAcentral is "bacterial SSU rRNA". It matches the Rfam family "Bacterial small subunit ribosomal RNA", at positions 82 to 667 of the family's 1533-position model. Lineage: Bacteria; Bacillati; Bacillota; Bacilli; Caryophanales; Bacillaceae. The record is from RNAcentral.
UCUUAUGAUGUUAGCGGCGGACGGGUGAGUAACACGUGGGUAACCUGCCCAUAAGACUGGGAUAACUCCGGGAAACCGGGGCUAAUACCGGAUAACAUUUUGAACCGCAUGGUUCGAAAUUGAAAGGCGGCUUCGGCUGUCACUUAUGGAUGGACCCGCGUCGCAUUAGCUAGUUGGUGAGGUAACGGCUCACCAAGGCAACGAUGCGUAGCCGACCUGAGAGGGUGAUCGGCCACACUGGGACUGAGACACGGCCCAGACUCCUACGGGAGGCAGCAGUAGGGAAUCUUCCGCAAUGGACGAAAGUCUGACGGAGCAACGCCGCGUGAGUGAUGAAGGCUUUCGGGUCGUAAAACUCUGUUGUUAGGGAAGAACAAGUGCUAGUUGAAUAAGCUGGCACCUUGACGGUACCUAACCAGAAAGCCACGGCUAACUACGUGCCAGCAGCCGCGGUAAUACGUAGGUGGCAAGCGUUAUCCGGAAUUAUUGGGCGUAAAGCGCGCGCAGGUGGUUUCUUAAGUCUGAUGUGAAAGCCCACGGCUCAACCGUGGAGGGUCAUUGGAAACUGGGAGACUUGAGUGCAGAAGAGGAAAGUGGAAU